GAUGAACGCUGGCGGCGUGCCUAAUACAUGCAAGUCGAGCGAACAGACGAGGAGCUUGCUCCUCUGACGUUAGCGGCGGACGGGUGAGUAACACGUGGAUAACCUACCUAUAAGACUGGGAUAACUUCGGGAAACCGGAGCUAAUACCGGAUAAUAUAUUGAAUCGCAUGGUUCAAUAGUGAAAGACGGUUUUGCUGUCACUUAUAGAUGGAUCCGCGCCGCAUUCGCUAGUUGGUAAGGUAACGGCUUACCAAGGCAACGAUGCGUAGCCGACCUGAGAGGAUGAUCGGCCACACUGGAACUGAGACACGGUCCAGACUCCUACGGGAGGCAGCAGUAGGGAAUCUUCCGCAAUGGGCGAAAGCCUGACGGAGCAACGCCGCGUGAGUGAUGAAGGUCUUCGGAUCGUAAAACUCUGUUAUUAGGGAAGAACAAAUGUGUAAGUAACUAUGCACGUCUUGACGGUACCUAAUCAGAAAGCCACGGCUAACUACGUG
RNAcentral lists this ribosomal RNA (497 nucleotides) under uncultured bacterium. Its description in RNAcentral is "partial 16S ribosomal RNA". It matches the Rfam family "Bacterial small subunit ribosomal RNA", at positions 28 to 507 of the family's 1533-position model. The record is from RNAcentral.